GUCUAUGGCCAGACCACCCUGAAUUCACCAGAUCUCAUCUGUUCUAGGAAGCUAAGCAGGAUGGGGGCCUGGUUAACUCUUGGAUGGGAGACCGCCUGGGAAUACAGGGUGCUGUAGGCU
RNAcentral lists this ribosomal RNA (120 nucleotides) under Microtus ochrogaster (prairie vole). Lineage: Eukaryota; Metazoa; Chordata; Mammalia; Rodentia; Cricetidae. The record is from RNAcentral.